UACGGGGGGAGCAAGCGUUGUUCGGAUUUACUGGGCGUAAAGGGCGCGUAGGCGGUCAGCACAAGUCAGUUGUGAAAUCUCCGGGCUUAACUCGGAAAGGUCAACUGAUACUGUGCGACUAGAGUGCAGAAGGGGCAACUGGAAUUCUCGGUGUAGCGGUGAAAUGCGUAGAUAUCGAGAGGACCACCUGCGGCGAAGGCGGGUUGCUGGGCUGACACUGACGCUGAUGCGCGAAAGCCAGGGGAGCGAACGGG
Molecule: ribosomal RNA, 254 nt
Filed under: uncultured bacterium
Lineage: Bacteria
Description: partial 16S ribosomal RNA
Rfam family: Bacterial small subunit ribosomal RNA
Source: RNAcentral